RNAcentral lists this ribosomal RNA (485 nucleotides) under uncultured bacterium. RNAcentral's name for it is "bacterial SSU rRNA". It matches the Rfam family "Bacterial small subunit ribosomal RNA", at positions 501 to 985 of the family's 1533-position model. The record is from RNAcentral.
CUACGUGCCAGCAGCCGCGGUAAUACGUAGGUGGCAAGCGUUGUCCGGAAUUAUUGGGCGUAAAGCGCGCGCAGGCGGAUUGGUCAGUCUGUCUUAAAAGUUCGGGGCUUAACCCCGUGAUGGGAUGGAAACUGCCAAUCUAGAGUAUCGGAGAGGAAAGUGGAAUUCCUAGUGUAGCGGUGAAAUGCGUAGAUAUUAGGAAGAACACCAGUGGCGAAGGCGACUCUCUGGACGAAAACUGACGCUGAGGCGCGAAAGCCAGGGGAGCGAACGGGAUUAGAUACCCCGGUAGUCCUGGCCGUAAACGAUGGGUACUAGGUGUAGGAGGUAUCGAACCCUUCUGUGCCGGAGUUAACGCAAUAAGUACCCCGCCUGGGGAGUACGACCGCAAGGUUGAAACUCAAAGGAAUUGACGGGGGCCCGCACAAGCGGAGGAACAUGUGGUUUAAUUCGAUGAUACGCGAGGAACCUUACCCGGGCUUGAA